Molecule: ribosomal RNA, 439 nt
Filed under: uncultured bacterium
Lineage: Bacteria
Description: partial 16S ribosomal RNA
Rfam family: Bacterial small subunit ribosomal RNA
Source: RNAcentral
CGGGACGCACCAGCAGUGAGGAAUAUUGCACAAUGGGGGGAACCCUGAUGCAGCAACGCCGCGUGGAGGAUGACGCAUUUCGGUGUGUAAACUCCUUUUAUAUGUCAAGAAAAUGACGGUAGCAUAUGAAUAAGCACCGGCUAACUCCGUGCCAGCAGCCGCGGUAAUACGGAGGGUGCAAGCGUUACUCGGAAUCACUGGGCGUAAAGGACGCGUAGGCGGGUUGGAAAGUCAGGUGUGAAAUCCUACAGCUUAACUGUAGAACUGCACUUGAAACUUCUAAUCUAGAGUAUGGGAGGGGGAGAUGGAAUUAGUGGUGUAGGGGUAAAAUCCGUAGAUAUCACUAGGAAUACCUAAAGCGAAGGCGAUCUCCUGGAACAUUACUGACGCUAAGGCGUGAAAGCGUGGGGAGCAAACAGGAUUAGAUACCCUCGUAGUC